Long non-coding RNA from Xiphophorus couchianus (Monterrey platyfish), 960 nucleotides. RefSeq lists it as uncharacterized. NCBI's taxonomy places the organism in Eukaryota, Metazoa, Chordata, Actinopteri, Cyprinodontiformes, Poeciliidae. The transcript has 4 exons. The record is from RefSeq and is a predicted model, not a curated record.
GACCGCUUUAACGCUGGUAGUGGACUUUACUGUGAUAGAUGGGUUAUGUGUAUUCAGGUGCUGGAGGAAUUCCUGAAAUUCUGCUUCAGAAUGAGUCCAGACCCCCCAGAUGUCAUCCUAGGUACCGAUAGUAGUGCAGGGGUGCCCUCCUGCACGUACUAAGAGCACCGGCCUCCCACUCAGCCAUGAAAAUAUUUGCAUAUGCCGGUGCAAAUCUUUUGCCCAUGGCUGUGCCCUUAAUUUGGAGGAAAAAUUGGCCAUCAAAAACAAAGUCAUUUCUUUUUAAGUUAAUUUCCAAUAGUUGAAUGAGCUCACGAUCUGGCCUCCUCGAAUCUGGGUAUUUGAGAAAUAUGUUUUUAAUACAACUAAUUCCUUCAUUUAUAUCAAUAUUGGUGUACAAACUGUCGAUGUCAAUUGUAAAUAAAAUAGAGUCCUGAGUCGGAGACAAUGGGCCUGCCGGGAGGGAUUUCAUGAGGUUUGCUCCAUUUUUCAGGCUCUUUGUGGAUUUUAGGGAGCAGGUAAAACCUCCUGGCUCUGGGCUCGGAGGAGCCACGCAGGGAGAAGACAGCAGCCAGGUGUGGCAGAACGGAGAAGCCUGCGAUCAUCAGGUGAAGGAAGGCAGACUGAUCGGGUGGCUUGGAUCGUCUCCGCAGCAGAAACAGCCAUCAGUGGAAAACAACAUGUUGGAUUGACAGCGGGACAGAGGAGGAACUCUGCCCUCAUCUGGCUGCAGCACAGCGGCGAGCGAGGCACACGGAGUGGACCGCAGCAGGUUCCAGAUGUGGUGGAGGCGAACCAAAGGGUUCCUCCUCCAGGUUCUGGCUGCCCUGAUUCCAACUGGAGACCAAGUUUACUUUGGACUGAGGACAUUUUUUAAACUAUUUUACAGAUUCUAGCUAAAGAGAACAGAACUUUUUAUUCCUUUGGUGUCUGCUGGGAAUAAAAAUGGUUUAAAUCUAA